AACGAACGCUGGCGGCGUGGCUAAGACAUGCAAGUCGAACGGACUGGUCAAUUUAUUGAACAGUUAGUGGCGUAAGGGUUAGUAACGGAUGGGUAACGUACCCUGUGCUUUGGGAUAGCGUCAGUUGCCUUCGGGCAACUUUCCGAAAGGGGCGGUAAUACCAGAUAAUAUCAUUUGUCGAUAGGCGAAUGAUCAAAGAUUUAUCGGCACGGGAGCGGCCUGUCUCCUAUCAGCUUGUUGGUGAGGUAAUGGCUCACCAAGGCAUCGACGGGUAGCGGGACUGAGAGGUUGGCCCGCAACAUCGGGACUGAGACACUGCCCGGACCUCCACGGAGGGCUGCAGUAACGGAUAUUGUGCAAUGGGCGAAAGCCUGACACAGCGACACCGCGUGUAGGAGGAAGUCUUUCGGGAUGUAAACUACUGUCAGGGGGAAGAAAGUGCGCUCCGGCGUAUUGAUCUAACCCAGAGGAAGUCACGGCUAACUUCGUGCCAGCAGCCGCGGUAAGACGAAGGUGGCAAGCGUUGUUCGGUAUUACUGGGCUUAAAGCGUGUGUAGGCGGAAAUGUAAGCGUUGCGUGAAAUCCCCCGGCUUAACCGGGGAACUGCGCAACGAACUGCGUUUCUUGAGGCAAGUAGGGGUGCAUGGAACUCUUGGUGGAGCGGUGGAAUGCGUAGAUAUCAAGAGGAACGCCAGUGGAGAAAUCGGUGCACUGGGCUUGUUCUGACGCUGAGACACGAAAGCGUGGGGAGCGAACGGGAUUAGAUACCCCGGUAGUCCACGCCGUAAACGAUGCCUACUAGGUUGUGGUGGUUCUGACACCAGCACAGCCGAAGCAAAAGUGCUAAGUAGGCCGCCUGGGGAGUACGGUCGCAAGGCUA
RNAcentral lists this ribosomal RNA (880 nucleotides) under uncultured Planctomycetota bacterium. RNAcentral's name for it is "bacterial SSU rRNA". It matches the Rfam family "Bacterial small subunit ribosomal RNA", at positions 28 to 896 of the family's 1533-position model. The record is from RNAcentral. Lineage: Bacteria; Pseudomonadati; Planctomycetota.